ACUGUAUGAUGAACGUAAAAUGACAAGCAUAUGGCUGAGCCGAAGUGAUGUUAAAUUCGGAGCUGAUAAGU
Molecule: small nucleolar RNA, 71 nt
Organism: Sorex fumeus (smoky shrew)
Lineage: Eukaryota; Metazoa; Chordata; Mammalia; Eulipotyphla; Soricidae
Product: small nucleolar RNA SNORD27
Exons: 1
Source: RefSeq, a predicted model, not a curated record